UACGGAAGGCAGCAGUGGGGAAUAUUGCACAAUGGGCGCAAGCCUGAUGCAGCCAUGCCGCGUGUAUGAAGAAGGCCUUCGGGUUGUAAAGUACUUUCAGCGGGGAGGAAGGGAGUAAAGUUAAUACCUUUGCUCAUUGACGUUACCCGCAGAAGAAGCACCGGCUAACUCCGUGCCAGCAGCCGCGGUAAUACGGAGGGUGCAAGCGUUAAUCGGAAUUACUGGGCGUAAAGCGCACGCAGGCGGUUUUGUUAAGUCAGAUGUGAAAUCCCCGGGCUUAACCUGGGAAUGGCAUUCAAGACUGGUUAGCUAGAGUCUUGUAGAGGGGGUAGAAUUCCAUGUGUAGCGGUGAAAUGCGUAGAGAUGUGGAGGAAUACCGGUGGCGAAGGCGGCCCCUGGGACAAAGACUGACGCUCAUGUGCGAAAGCGUGGGGAGCAAACAGGGAUUAGGAUACC
Molecule: ribosomal RNA, 456 nt
Filed under: uncultured bacterium
Lineage: Bacteria
Description: bacterial SSU rRNA
Rfam family: Bacterial small subunit ribosomal RNA
Source: RNAcentral